Homo sapiens (human) is the source of this 593-nucleotide long non-coding RNA. RefSeq lists it as uncharacterized. Lineage: Eukaryota; Metazoa; Chordata; Mammalia; Primates; Hominidae. The record is from RefSeq and is a predicted model, not a curated record. The transcript is spliced from 2 exons.
AGUUUCAGAGCUUCUUGUUCUCACCUUCAUGCUGUGGCAAUGCUGACAAAAGAAAACUGCAGCCUCUGAGAACCAGUGUUCUGGAGACUGAGACAUCCAAGGUUGGCGGGGGGCACAUCUGGUGAGAGAGAGCCUUCUUGCUGGUGGGGACUCUGAAGUGCCCCACAGGGUAUCCCAUGGAGAGGGAGCUGAGGGUGCUCCCAUGUGCCCACUUAGCACUCUCUUCCUCUUCUUAUAAGCCACCAGUUCCCUUCCCAUGAUAACUCAUUAAUCCAUUAACCCAUUAAUUGAAGAAUGGAUUAAUCCAUCCAUGAAGGCCAAGCCCUCAUAACCAAUCACCUCGUAAAGGCCCACCUCUCAAUACUGCCACAUUGGGGAUUAAGUUUCAACAUGAGUUUUGGAGAGGACAUUCAAACCACAGUACUAAGCCAAUGCUUCUUCCUCUACAGGGAAACUGGGAAACUGACACUUCCUGCCUUAUAUUGUUGCAGUUGCAAAGAUCAAAUACCAAGGUUAUGGGAAGAUGUUUUGAAGCCCCAUAUAAAUAUGUAAUUUAAUUUAUUCCAAUAAAGACUCAUUGCACAGGCUGGGCA